Molecule: ribosomal RNA, 254 nt
Filed under: uncultured bacterium
Lineage: Bacteria
Description: partial 16S ribosomal RNA
Rfam family: Bacterial small subunit ribosomal RNA
Source: RNAcentral
CACGUAGGGUGCGAGCGUUGUCCGGAAUUAUUGGGCGUAAAGAGCUCGUAGGCGGUGUGUCGCGUCGGCCGUGAAAACCUGCAGCUUAACUGUGGGCUUGCGGUCGAUACGGGCAUCACUGGAGUUCGGCAGGGGAGACUGGAAUUCCUGGUGUAGCGGUGAAAUGCGCAGAUAUCAGGAGGAACACCGGUGGCGAAGGCGGGUCUCUGGGCCGAUACUGACACUGAGAAGCGAAAGCGUGGGGAGCGAACAGG